This 242-nucleotide long non-coding RNA is filed under the name Bos taurus (domestic cattle). Its description in RNAcentral is "long non-coding RNA NONBTAT025533". Lineage: Eukaryota; Metazoa; Chordata; Mammalia; Artiodactyla; Bovidae. The record is from RNAcentral.
ACAAAAUCUGUGAGUAUGAAAGGACAAACAACCACAUAAUUUACACAUUCCUCAUUAGUCUUCACUUUAUGGUUUAUCUAAAGUAUUUUUCUCUCCUCCAGGCAGAGGAUAAAUUAGAAGUGUUCAGAAAAGGUCAUUCCCUCCUCUCCAAGAAGUACAUUUUCAUAAUUAAAAGAACUAAAGUUCAACCACAUAUGAAGUGAUCUCUACUCAACACAGGAGUUACAUUUGUCUGUUACAGG